RNAcentral lists this non-coding RNA (21 nucleotides) under Arabidopsis thaliana (thale cress). Lineage: Eukaryota; Viridiplantae; Streptophyta; Magnoliopsida; Brassicales; Brassicaceae. The record is from RNAcentral.
UCACAUCUAAUACCUUUGAUG